AGUGAACGCUGGCGGUAGGCCUAACACAUGCAAGUCGAACGGCAGCACAGUAAGAGCUUGCUCUUACGGGUGGCGAGUGGCGGACGGGUGAGGAAUACAUCGGCAUCUACUUUUUCGUGGGGGAUAACGUAGGGAAACUUACGCUAAUACCGCAUAAGACCUACGGGUGAAAGCAGGGGAUCUUCGGACCUUGCGCGAUUGAAUGAGCCGAUGUCGGAUUAGCUAGUUGGCGGGGUAAAGGCCCACCAAGGCGACGAUCCGUAGCUGGUCUGAGAGGAUGAUCAGCCACACUGGAACUGAGACACGGUCCAGACUCCUACGGGAGGCAGCAGUGGGGAAUAUUGGACAAUGGGCGCAAGCCUGAUCCAGCCAUACCGCGUGGGUGAAGAAGUCCUUCGGGUUGUAAAGCCCUUUUGUUGGGAAAGAAAAGCAGCAGGUUAAUACCCCGCUGUUCUGACGGUACCCAAAGAAUAAGCACCGGCUAACUUCGUG
Molecule: ribosomal RNA, 492 nt
Filed under: uncultured bacterium
Lineage: Bacteria
Description: partial 16S ribosomal RNA
Rfam family: Bacterial small subunit ribosomal RNA
Source: RNAcentral